This 419-nucleotide non-coding RNA is filed under the name uncultured fungus. The record is from RNAcentral. RNAcentral also lists the same sequence under 1 other name. Lineage: Eukaryota; Fungi.
AGAGUUAAAAAGUACGUGAAACCGUUAAAAGGGAAGCAAAUGGCACUAGCAUUUGUACCUGUCAUAAUCAAUCAGAUGUCUUGAAACCUUGUAGUAUAGAGAGUGUUAAAGCCUCUUGCUGCUUGUAUGGAGAGUUCAUCUGGUGUACUUGUGGCUUGUACAGGCCAACAUCAGUUCGAACUGGAUCACAAGCUCAAUAGGAAGGUGGCUUGCAGCUUCGGUUGUAAGUGUUAUAGCCUAUCGUGAAUGUUCCGGGUUGGACUGAGGAGUCGCAGGUCGUGCCUCUGGCUAGGACCCUGGCCUCUGUUGUGGCGUCAUUGUACAACUUGUGAAAAGCAAGUGGUGCGGUAGCCGCUGUGACACCGGUUAGGAUUUCUAUAAACGACCUUCGGAUGUUGGCGAAAUGGUGUUAUCUGACC